AUGUGGUGGGUGUGGUGAAUGUGGAGCCUUUUGUCCUUUCACAGGUAUAUAAGAGAAGCCUCAGUAGACUUGUUAUUCUACAGACAUAAGACAGACUGCAAACUUUCCAGUGUAUUUACAGCAUUGGAGCUUUCGAUUCUAACUUACAGGCAACAUGAAGCUUUUGAUCUUUGGUGUGAUUUUGAUUGCUACACAUACUGGAGCCCAAGAUCUGGAAAAAAAGC
This is a long non-coding RNA of Ictalurus furcatus (blue catfish), 224 nucleotides long. RefSeq lists it as uncharacterized. The record is from RefSeq and is a predicted model, not a curated record. The transcript has 4 exons. Lineage: Eukaryota; Metazoa; Chordata; Actinopteri; Siluriformes; Ictaluridae.